RNAcentral lists this ribosomal RNA (356 nucleotides) under uncultured bacterium. RNAcentral describes it as "bacterial SSU rRNA". It matches the Rfam family "Bacterial small subunit ribosomal RNA", at positions 355 to 725 of the family's 1533-position model. The record is from RNAcentral.
UGGGGAAUCUUGCACAAUGGGGCGAACCCUACGAUGCAGCGACGCCGCGUGAGCGAUGAAGCCCUUCGGGUGUAAAGCUCUUUCGGCAGGGAAGAUGAUGACGGUACCUGCAGAAGCAGCUGCGGCUAACUACGUGCCAGCAGCCGCGGUAAUACGUAGGCAGCAAGCGUUGUUCGGAGUUACUGGGCGUAAAGGGUGUGUAGGCGGCCUUCUAAGUUUGGUGUGAAAUCUCCCGGCUCAACCGGGAGGGUGCGCCGAAGACUGGGGGGCGUAGAGUGCGGAGGGGAGGAGGUAGAAUUCCUGGUGUAGCGGUGAAAUGCGUAGAUAUCAGGAGGAAUACCGGUGGUGUAGACGGC